This 433-nucleotide ribosomal RNA is filed under the name uncultured bacterium. RNAcentral's name for it is "partial 16S ribosomal RNA". It matches the Rfam family "Bacterial small subunit ribosomal RNA", at positions 29 to 507 of the family's 1533-position model. The record is from RNAcentral.
AACGAACGCUGGCGGCAUGCCUAACACAUGCAAGUCGAACGAGACCUUCGGGUCUAGUGGCGCACGGGUGCGUAACGCGUGGGAACCUGCCCUUAGGUUCGGAAUAACUCCCCGAAAGGGGUGCUAAUACCGGAUAAUGUCUUCGGACCAAAGAUUUAUCGCCUUUGGAUGGGCCCGCGUUGGAUUAGCUAGUUGGUAGGGUAAAAGCCUACCAAGGCGACGAUCCAUAGCUGGUCUGAGAGGAUGAUCAGCCACACUGGGACUGAGACACGGCCCAGACUCCUACGGGAGGCUGCAGGGGGGAAUAUUGGACAAUGGGCGAGAGCCAGAUCCAGCAAUGCCGCGUGAGUGAUGAAGGCCUUAGGGUUGUAAAGCUCUUUUAACCGGGAUGAUAAUGACAGUACCGGGAGAAUAAGCUCCGGCUAACUCCGUG